RNAcentral lists this ribosomal RNA (464 nucleotides) under Vreelandella stevensii. RNAcentral's name for it is "partial 16S ribosomal RNA". It matches the Rfam family "Bacterial small subunit ribosomal RNA", at positions 338 to 795 of the family's 1533-position model. Lineage: Bacteria; Pseudomonadati; Pseudomonadota; Gammaproteobacteria; Oceanospirillales; Halomonadaceae. The record is from RNAcentral.
CCUACGGGGGGCUGCAGUGGGGAAUAUUGGACAAUGGGCGAAAGCCUGAUCCAGCCAUGCCGCGUGUGUGAAGAAGGCCUUCGGGUUGUAAAGCACUUUCAGUGGGGAAGAAAGCCUUGGGGCUAAUACCCUCGAGGAAGGACAUCACCCACAGAAGAAGCACCGGCUAACUCCGUGCCAGCAGCCGCGGUAAUACGGAGGGUGCGAGCGUUAAUCGGAAUUACUGGGCGUAAAGCGCGCGUAGGCGGUCUGAUAAGCCGGUUGUGAAAGCCCCGGGCUCAACCUGGGAACGGCAUCCGGAACUGUCAGGCUAGAGUGCAGGAGAGGAAGGUAGAAUUCCCGGUGUAGCGGUGAAAUGCGUAGAGAUCGGGAGGAAUACCAGUGGCGAAGGCGGCCUUCUGGACUGACACUGACGCUGAGGUGCGAAAGCGUGGGUAGCAAACAGGAUUAAUACCCUAGUAGUC